UUGACAUCGCAUGUAAUCGGAUAGAGAACUUAUUCUUAAACUUUCUUCAAUUGUAAUUCACAUAGAGAUAUAGUGGGUUAGUUGAUUAAGGUGUUUAACGGAUUUCUAUCUUAAUUGUGGAUUGACGUUAAUACGGUAUUAGUGCAUCGAGAGGUGGUUAAUACUACUUUCGUGUUCUGGAUUAGUAAACUGGGAUAGUGCAUUGAAUUGGAAUAAAGGUGUUAAAAUCAGAGUAAAGCUUAGGGUGAAAUCAUAAGUCUAAUUCUCCAUUAAUUGUUGAAAUUCUAGACUUUGAUAUUUGUGAUUAUUUUGUGAUUGUUUAAUUGCUAUUUAAUUUAGAAUCAUUAGUUACAAUCAUUGAGUUAAUUUGUUUAAUAAAAUUAGGGUUAAUAGGGAAUUGGUAAUUGUAAGUUAAGGUUAUUUCUAGUUAGUCUCUGUGGGAAAGAUACUCUACUUAUCACUCUAUUACUUGUUGACCACGUAUACUUGCGUGUUGUGCGUAAUUAGAUUUUACCCAACAAGUUUUUGGCGUCGUUGCCGGGGACUAUUUAGUAUAAAUCUUAAUAGUUUUACAAUAUCAGUUUAAUUAAUCCAGUUUUACUUAGACAUUUUUAUUUUUGUUUUGUGCUUCUUAUUUUCAGGUGUUGGAAGCAGUUUAUGCAAACUCGGUCCAAAAAUCCAGACUUGCUGCCUUUCGAGGACGACAUUGAAAUCUCAUAGCAUUCCAUCCUUGAAAAUUUACUUACGGAUCAAAUCCACCGCACACCCACUUUGGCCAACAAAAAUGAGCAUAUUUCACACACAAGUGGGGCCCACUCAAUUAGAAAAAUCCUCUAAUAAAUAUUUUACACAUUUUAAUCCUUAAAAAUACCAUUCAGACCCAUUUUGUACUCUUCCUCCUCAUUUUAUUCAUAUACCGU
This 920-nucleotide long non-coding RNA is filed under the name Panax ginseng (ginseng). RNAcentral's name for it is "long non-coding RNA (PGIN_LNC015896)". Lineage: Eukaryota; Viridiplantae; Streptophyta; Magnoliopsida; Apiales; Araliaceae. The record is from RNAcentral.